AUACCAUUCUCGGCCUUUUAGCUAAGAUCAAGUGUAGUAUCUGUUCUUAUAUAUGUGUGCCAUGUGCCCACUUCGGUAUUAAAUUUAUUUUUUGUGUGGGAGGGCCCACCACAGUAGCUUGCCACUGGGGCCCUCACGUGUCGCCCAGGCGUUGCACUGCUGCCCGGGCCUGUCGCACCCCAA
Molecule: small nuclear RNA, 183 nt
Filed under: Oryza meridionalis
Lineage: Eukaryota; Viridiplantae; Streptophyta; Magnoliopsida; Poales; Poaceae
Description: snRNA U2
Rfam family: U2 spliceosomal RNA
About the family: U2 is a small nuclear RNA (snRNA) component of the spliceosome (involved in pre-mRNA splicing). Complementary binding between U2 snRNA (in an area lying towards the 5' end but 3' to hairpin I) and the branchpoint sequence (BPS) of the intron results the bulging out of an unpaired adenosine, on the BPS, which initiates a nucleophilic attack at the intronic 5' splice site, thus starting the first of two transesterification reactions that mediate splicing.
Source: Rfam by way of RNAcentral